Molecule: ribosomal RNA, 1020 nt
Filed under: Cruzella marina
Lineage: Eukaryota; Euglenozoa; Kinetoplastea; Neobodonida; Neobodonidae
Description: LSU rRNA
Rfam family: Eukaryotic large subunit ribosomal RNA
Source: RNAcentral
UAGAGUAGGAAGACCGAUAGCGAACAAGUAGCGUGAGCGAAAGUUUGAAAAGCACUUUGGAAAGAGAGUGACAUAGAACCUGAAGUCGUGACAAUGACAAUGAAAGCGCCUCCGUUUUAUACGUCAAAACCAGCCCUACAGCAUCAUCCUGGGUGGACUUGUGCCACGGUGCUCUUUUGCACCCUUGUUUGCCAGGCAACGACUGCAGUACCGGGGCCCUUGGUGAAAUGAGCGGCGAUAAAGUUUGGAUGCACUGCGAGCGAUCGUACCUUUCACCGGGUGCCCGCUUCAGCAGCGCCAGGCUUCGCGUGAUGCUCCAUGUUGACGAACGGAAACGGGGUGCCUUCACCCGUCUUGAAACACGGACCAAGGAGUCAAACAGACGCGCAAGGGGGAAGAUACUUGUUGCCAGUACUUCUCUCGUACUGAAAGGGUGGUACCUAGUACCAUGGUGUGCACACAAACGAAUGCCCAACACCGGCCGGCCCGUACGCGGUUGAGUUUGAGUGUGCCUGUUUGGACCCGAAAGGUGGUGAACUAUGCCUGAACAAGGUGAAGCCCGGGGAAACCCAGGUGGAGGCCUGUAGCGAUGCUGACGUGCAAAUCGCUCGCAAGAUUUGGGUAUCGGAGCGAAAGACUCAUCGAACCACCUAGUAGCUGGUUCACGUCGAAGUUUCCCUCAGGAUAGCUGGUGCUAGACUUUCAUGAUUAGUAUUGUGCGGUAAAGCAAAUGAUUAGAGGUAUUGGUGUUCUUAGAGUAUCGACCUAUUCUCAAACUUUAAAUGUGCAAAUCAUCUGGCCUUUGCCAAAUUCGGAAGACCAGAAAGACAAAAUUAAGGCACCAAGUGGGCCUUCUUCGGUAAGCGGAGCAGGCGAUGCGGAAUGAACCGCUUAGGGAUAUGUGGCGUCUAAACUUUUGGGCUCAUUCUCGAUACGUGAAAAGGGUGUUGGUGGAUAUGGACAGUUGGACGGUGGCCAUGGAGGUCGGCAUCCGCUAAGGAGUGUGUAACAACUCACCAA